Molecule: long non-coding RNA, 272 nt
Filed under: Mustela putorius furo (domestic ferret)
Lineage: Eukaryota; Metazoa; Chordata; Mammalia; Carnivora; Mustelidae
Description: lncRNA (ENSMPUG00000027626.1)
Source: RNAcentral
GAACUCAUCCCCCUGCUGCAUUAAAAUGUGUUGAAUUCUUUAUUUUGUUUACAUUUCUUAACUCAUUUUUAUUUCCUUUUACCUUAUCCAAAACAGACCUGCUGUCAAAUGGAUUAUAUAAAGUACAUGUGGAACUACCUAAAAACACAAAUUCUAUCAGAAUCAAAUGAACUAUGAUUAUGGCUGCUAGUGAUGCCUCGAAGACCACAGACUAGGACAGACAGACUCCUCUAGGAGGGACAAUCUCUCCAUCCCAAAUUUAGAAAUCAUAU